UGGGGAAUUUUGGACAAUGGGCGAAAGCCUGAUCCAGCAAUGCCGCGUGUGUGAAGAAGGCCUUCGGGUUGUAAAGCACUUUUGUCCGGAAAGAAAUCCUUGGCUCUAAUACAGUCGGGGGAUGACGGUACCGGAAGAAUAAGCACCGGCUAACUACGUGCCAGCAGCCGCGGUAAUACGUAGGGUGCAAGCGUUAAUCGGAAUUACUGGGCGUAAAGCGUGCGCAGGCGGUUUGCUAAGACCGAUGUGAAAUCCCCGGGCUCAACCUGGGAACUGCAUUGGUGACUGGCAGGCUAGAGUAUGGCAGAGGGGGGUAGAAUUCCACGUGUAGCAGUGAAAUGCGUAGAGAUGUGGAGGAAUACCGAUGGCGAAGGCAGCCCCCUGGGCCAAUACUGACGCUCAUGCACGAAAAGCGUGGGGAGCAAAACAGGAUUAGAUACCCUGGUAGUCCACGCCCUAAAACGAUGUCAACUAGUUGUUGGGGAUUCAUUUCCUUAGUAACGUAGCUAAACGCGUGAAGUUGACCGCCUGGGGAGUACGGUCGCAAGAUUAAAACUCAAAGGAAUUGACGGGGUCAUAGCUG
This 583-nucleotide ribosomal RNA is filed under the name uncultured bacterium. Its description in RNAcentral is "partial 16S ribosomal RNA". It matches the Rfam family "Bacterial small subunit ribosomal RNA", at positions 355 to 932 of the family's 1533-position model. The record is from RNAcentral.